GCCAGGCAGAGUGGCACACCCGUGCAGUCCCAGCUGCUGGGGAGGCUGAGGUGAGAGAAUUGCUUGAGCCCAGGAGUUCAGGGCUGUGGUGUGCUUUGCUAGUUGGAUAUCCACACUUAACACACCACUGUGGUGACUUCCUGGGAGAAGCAGAGCACUAGGUUGCCUAAGGAGGAGUGAACCAGCCCAGGUGGAAAUGGACAGGUCAGAACUCCCAUGCUGAUGAGUGAGAUCUGUGAAUAGCUACUGCAGUUCAGCCUGGGUAACAUGGCAAGACCCUGUCUUAA
Non-coding RNA from Chlorocebus sabaeus (green monkey), 287 nucleotides. It matches the Rfam family "Metazoan signal recognition particle RNA". From Rfam's summary of the family: The signal recognition particle (SRP) is a universally conserved ribonucleoprotein. It is involved in the co-translational targeting of proteins to membranes. The record is from Rfam. NCBI's taxonomy places the organism in Eukaryota, Metazoa, Chordata, Mammalia, Primates, Cercopithecidae.